UGGGGGAUAUUGCACAAUGGGCGAAAGCCUGAUGCAGCAACGCCGCGUGAGGGAAGACGGUUUUCGGAUUGUAAACCUCUGUCUUCGGUGAAGAAAAAAAUGACGGUAGCCGAGGAGGAAGCCACGGCUAACUACGUGCCAGCAGCCGCGGUAAUACGUAGGAGGCGAGCGUUGUCCGGAAUUACUGGGUGUAAAGGGAGCGCAGGCGGGGAAACAAGUCAGCUGUGAAAACUAUGGGCUUAACCCAGAAACUGCAGUUGAAACUUUUUGUCUUGAGUGGAGUAGAGGUAGGCGGAAUUCCGAGUGUAGCGGUGAAAUGCGUAGAUAUUCGGAGGAACACCAGUGGCGAAGGCGGCCUACUGGGCUCUAACUGACGCUGAGGCUCGAAAGUGUGGGGAGCAAACA
This 405-nucleotide ribosomal RNA is filed under the name uncultured prokaryote. Its description in RNAcentral is "bacterial SSU rRNA". It matches the Rfam family "Bacterial small subunit ribosomal RNA", at positions 355 to 774 of the family's 1533-position model. The record is from RNAcentral.